RNAcentral lists this ribosomal RNA (513 nucleotides) under Hestiasula masoni. RNAcentral's name for it is "partial 16S ribosomal RNA". It matches the Rfam family "Bacterial large subunit ribosomal RNA", at positions 1889 to 2600 of the family's 2925-position model. The record is from RNAcentral. Lineage: Eukaryota; Metazoa; Arthropoda; Insecta; Mantodea; Hymenopodidae.
GGUUUCUUGUAUUAAUUAAGAGAUUUAACCUGCCCACUGAAUAAUUUUGAAGGGCCGCAGUAUUUUGACUGUGCAAAGGUAGCAUAAUCAUUAGUCUUUUAAUUGAAGACUAGUAUGAAUGGUUGGAUGAGGUAAAUUCUGUUUUAUGUUAAAUUAAAUUGAAUUUAUAUUUUAAGUAAAAAGACUUAAAUAAAAUUAAGGGACGAGAAGACCCUAUAGAGUUUAAUAAGUGUAGUAAAUUAAUUGAGUUAAUAAUGAAUUUUUGGUUAUUAUGAAAUUUAUUUAAUUGGGGUGAUUGGAAGAUAAAAUGAACUCUUCUUUAAAUUAAAUAAUAUAAUUAGUUUGAUGAUCCAUAUUUAAUGAUUAAUAGAUUAAAUUACCUUAGGGAUAACAGCAUAAUUUCUUUUGAGAGUUCAAAUUGAAAGAGAAGAUUGUGACCUCGAUGUUGGAUUAAGAUUAGUUUUGGGUGUAGAUGUUUAAUAACUAGGUCUGUUCGACCUUUAAAAUCUUACA